This is a non-coding RNA of Pelobates cultripes (western spadefoot toad), 276 nucleotides long. The record is from the annotation of a GenBank genome assembly. NCBI's taxonomy places the organism in Eukaryota, Metazoa, Chordata, Amphibia, Anura, Pelobatidae.
AUAUAUAUGACUGGUUCAAGACUACACAUCAAUAAGUUGAGAGAUAGAUAUAUAUAUAUAUAUCCAAAAAGGUUAUGGUGGGGAAAAAUUGUGAUUGAAAACCCCUUCCACCUGAAGUCUGUGGAUAUAAUACAUGUUAAACAAAAAUCUGCACACCAGUCAAGCUACAAGACUCGCUUUUCCCACAGAAAUCACAAAUUUGCAGUGAUGUUACUACCGCAAGGGAUUCUGGGUGGGCAAAAACAGACUCCAAGGAAUCCAUGUUUAAAACGGAAU